RNAcentral lists this ribosomal RNA (470 nucleotides) under Treponema socranskii. RNAcentral describes it as "bacterial SSU rRNA". It matches the Rfam family "Bacterial small subunit ribosomal RNA", at positions 29 to 491 of the family's 1533-position model. Lineage: Bacteria; Pseudomonadati; Spirochaetota; Spirochaetia; Treponematales; Treponemataceae. The record is from RNAcentral.
AACGAACGCUGGCGGCGCGUCUUAACCAUGCAAGUCGAGCGGCAGGCAGCAAUGCCGAGAGCGGCGGACUGGUGAGUAACACGUGGAUAACGUACCCCGAUGUCCGGGACAGCCUGUAGAAAUAGAGGGUGAUACCGGAUAGAUCACUGUAUACGGAAGGUAGACAGCGGGAAAGGAGCUUCGGCUCCGCGCCGGGAACGGUCUGCGGCCCAUCAGCUGGACGGCGGGGUAACGGCCCGCCGUGGCGAGGACGGGUAUCCGGCCUGAGAGGGCGGACGGACACAUUGGGACUGAGAUACGGCCCAGACUCCUACGGGAGGCAGCAGGUAAGAAUAUUCCGCAAUGGGGGAAACCCUGACGGAGCGACGCCGCGUGAACGAAGAAGGCCGGAAGGUUGUAAAGUUCUUUUCUGUCCGAGGAAUAAGUGUAGGAGGAAAUGCCUGCAUGGUGACGGUAGGGCAGGAAUAAGC